AGAGUUUGAUCCUGGCUCAGAAUAAACGCUGGCGGCGUGCCUAACACAUGCAAGUCGAACGAGAAAGCCAAACUUCGGUUAGGCGAGUAAAGUGGCGCACGGGUGAGUAACGCGUAGGUAACCUGCCCCUGUGUUCGGGAUAACAGUGCGAAAGCGCUGCUAAUACCGGAUGUGGCCAGGAUGCGGUGGCAUCUUGGUCAAAGUCGGCCUCUCUAUAGAAGCUGACGCGCGGGGAGGGGCCUGCGUCCUAUCAGCUAGUUGGCAGGGUAACGGCCUACCAAGGCUUCGACGGGUAGCUGGUCCGAGAGGAUGAUCAGCCACACUGGCACUGGAACACGGGCCAGACUCCUACGGGAGGCAGCAGUGAGGAAUUUUGCGCAAUGGCCGCAAGGCUGACGCAGCAACGCCGCGUGGGUGAAGAAGGCCUUCGGGUCGUAAAGCCCUGUCAGGUGGGAAGAACGGCUAGGGGACUAAUAAUCUUCUAGAUUGACGGUACCACCAGAGGAAGCACCGGCUAACUCCGUGCCAGCAGCCGCGGUAAUACGGAGGGUGCAAGCGUUAUUCGGAAUUACUGGGCGUAAAGCGCGUGCAGGCGGGCCGAAAAGUCUGAUGUGAAAGCCCCGGGCUCAACCUGGGAAGUGCAUUGGAAACUGUUGGUCUUGAGUUCUGGAGAGGAANGGGGAAUUCCCGGUGUAGAGGUGAAAUUCGUAGAGAUCGGGAGGAAUACCAGUGGCGAAGGCGCCCUUCUGGACGGCAACUGACGCUGAGACGCGAAAGCGUGGGGAGCAAACAG
RNAcentral lists this ribosomal RNA (793 nucleotides) under uncultured bacterium. Its description in RNAcentral is "bacterial SSU rRNA". It matches the Rfam family "Bacterial small subunit ribosomal RNA", at positions 8 to 775 of the family's 1533-position model. The record is from RNAcentral.